Molecule: ribosomal RNA, 496 nt
Filed under: uncultured bacterium
Lineage: Bacteria
Description: bacterial SSU rRNA
Rfam family: Bacterial small subunit ribosomal RNA
Source: RNAcentral
ACUCAAAGGAAUUGACGGGGGCCCGCACAAGCAGUGGAGUAUGUGGUUUAAUUCGAAGCAACGCGAAGAACCUUACCAGGAAUUGACAUCCCUCGCAAUGUGUUGAAAGACACAGUUCCCUCGGGACGGGGAGACAGGUGGUGCAUGGUUGUCGUCAGCUCGUGUCGUGAGAUGUUGGGUUAAGUCCCGCAACGAGCGCAACCCUUGUUGUUAGUUGCCAUCAGGUAAAGCUGGGCACUCUAACGAGACUGCCGGUGACAAAUCGGAGGAAGGUGGGGAUGACGUCAAAUCAUCAUGCCCCUUAUGUUCUGGGCUACACACGUACUACAAUGGCUGUUACAGAGGGGAGCGAAGCCGCAAGGCAGAGCCAAUCCCAAAAAACAGUCUCAGUUCGGAUUGUGGGCUGAAACCCGCCCGCAUGAAGUCGGAAUUGCUAGUAAUGGCAGGUCAUCAUACUGCCGUGAAUACGUUCCCGGGCCUUGUACACACCGCCCGU